UUUAAAAUUGAGAGUUUGAUCCUGGCUCAGGACGAACGCUGGCGGCGUGCUUAACACAUGCAAGUCGAGCGAUGAAGCUUCCUUCGGGAAGUGGAUUAGCGGCGGACGGGUGAGUAACACGUGGGUAACCUGCCUCAAAGUGGGGGAUAGCCUUCCGAAAGGAAGAUUAAUACCGCAUAAUAUGAGAGAAUCGCAUGAUUUUUUUAUCAAAGAUUUAUUGCUUUGAGAUGGACCCGCGGCGCAUUAGCUAGUUGGUAAGGUAACGGCUUACCAAGGCAACGAUGCGUAGCCGACCUGAGAGGGUGAUCGGCCACAUUGGAACUGAGACACGGUCCAGACUCCUACGGGAGGCAGCAGUGGGGAAUAUUGCGCAAUGGGGGAAACCCUGACGCAGCAACGCCGCGUGGGUGAUGAAGGUCUUCGGAUUGUAAAGCCCUGUUUUCUGGGACGAUAAUGACGGUACCAGAGGAGGAAGCCACGGCU
RNAcentral lists this ribosomal RNA (483 nucleotides) under Clostridium sporogenes. RNAcentral's name for it is "bacterial SSU rRNA". It matches the Rfam family "Bacterial small subunit ribosomal RNA", at positions 1 to 498 of the family's 1533-position model. Lineage: Bacteria; Bacillati; Bacillota; Clostridia; Eubacteriales; Clostridiaceae. The record is from RNAcentral.